CUCAUAGGUGGCCACAAAAGGAACAUCAAGCCAUCAUGGAGGUGACCUUCUUGGGAAGAUUUGAGUCCCACUGCUUCCCCACAACCAUUCUACUGGGAGACAACUGAUCAGAAACACAUGAAGAACACCCAUCUAGAGUUCCACUAAGCUCUGGGAACAGGACCCCGGGUAGAAAGAGAUCCCCUCCCUUGGGUUGUUCUCUGACCGCCACAUGUGGGCCUUGGAGCAUCUGCUGAAAUUGAUUUGUAACAGAAUAAGAAAAAAAAAUUAAAGUUGCUAAAUAACUUUAAAACUAAUUUUUAUUGAGCUAAUCUGACAAAAUAGCUUUAGUCCAAGAGAAGGGCUUGUUCCCUAAUUGAGUAAUUAAAACUCAUUCAGGCUAAUUCAGAAGAUC
Meriones unguiculatus (Mongolian gerbil) is the source of this 394-nucleotide long non-coding RNA. RefSeq lists it as uncharacterized. The record is from RefSeq and is a predicted model, not a curated record. The transcript is spliced from 3 exons. NCBI's taxonomy places the organism in Eukaryota, Metazoa, Chordata, Mammalia, Rodentia, Muridae.